UGAUGCCUACGGGAGGCAGCAGUGGGGGAUAUUGCACAAUGGGGGUAACCCUGAUGCAGCGACGCCGCGUGGGUGAAGAAGCGACUCGGCGCGUAAAGCCCUGUCAGCAGGGAAGAAAAUGACGGUACCUGAAGAAGAAGCCCCGGCUAACUACGUGCCAGCAGCCGCGGUAAUACGUAGGGGGCAAGCGUUAUCCGGAUUUACUGGGUGUAAAGGGGGCGCAGACGGCGAUGCAAGCCAGGAGGGAA
RNAcentral lists this ribosomal RNA (248 nucleotides) under uncultured bacterium. RNAcentral's name for it is "partial 16S ribosomal RNA". It matches the Rfam family "Bacterial small subunit ribosomal RNA", at positions 333 to 598 of the family's 1533-position model. The record is from RNAcentral.